Lolium rigidum is the source of this 270-nucleotide long non-coding RNA. RefSeq lists it as uncharacterized. NCBI's taxonomy places the organism in Eukaryota, Viridiplantae, Streptophyta, Magnoliopsida, Poales, Poaceae. The record is from RefSeq and is a predicted model, not a curated record. The transcript is spliced from 3 exons.
CUCAUGUCGCAAAUCGUCAUCGUGGACAUGGAGAGGGAGGAGGUAAUUGAGAGUUUUCCAUAUGGCGGCGACUCCUCCUGUAUACCAUGUGUUCUUCCACCGUGGCUUGGACAGAGCCGGAUUCCUUCUGCAGGCAAGAAGGACGUUGAGAAAAACAAGACUUUGGCAGACGUUCUGGUUCGUUCAGACGGUCACUACAAGAGAUGAAGGUUUUCUUAAAACUAACAGAUGUCAAUUGGGAAGCUGAUGGUGGCAGCUUACUGAUGCUGG